Myotis davidii is the source of this 1278-nucleotide long non-coding RNA. RefSeq lists it as uncharacterized. Lineage: Eukaryota; Metazoa; Chordata; Mammalia; Chiroptera; Vespertilionidae. The transcript is spliced from 5 exons. The record is from RefSeq and is a predicted model, not a curated record.
CGCCGCCUUUGUUCUCUCAUCAGGCGCCCUGCACCUCAUCCCCACGGGAACCCGGUUACUUGACCAGCCUGAGGUUUCAGGUGAGGUCAGGACACAGCCUGGCAGCCGCAGUGAAGCCCGCUGGCUCGGCCUCCCUGGCCGGUGUAGGUGACGACGAACAAUACACCGGCUUGCUAACAGCUGGGAGAAUGGUUACGUUUGUUUGUGUGUCUUGAUUUGCGGGCCGCUACAUUUAACUUCCAAUAUCUACCAAGAGCGGUGGUGCUUGCAAAGGCAUCUGUCUGUAUGGCUUCACAGUGCUCAAUGCUUCAGAAAGAUGGAUGAAUGAGACCAGGUAUUAUCAUAAGCCAGGUAUUCUUAGCACCCUUGGCAGCUCCCUGUAAUUAGAGUCUCUACGUUUCAUUCCAGAUCCUAGACUUUCAUCUUCAGAAAACCAUUGUUUUGUGGGAGCUCUCCAGGGUACUGGACUUCUGCCUGAAAAACAUCUCUGACAUCACAGACUAGCGUACCACACCUAAUCUAACUGACAUCUCUGUGUGUCUUGAACAUUGUCUUCUUUAUACCAGUCACACUGGUCUUUGACUGCACUUACAGAGAACCACAUUCUCCCCAGUCCGAGAGCUCUGUGCACGCCAUUUCUUCUUGAAACUCCCUCUCUUCUGUAGAACUACCUCUUUCUACCAACAAGUCUCUGUGGCUCAGCUUAAAUGUGUCCUUUUUCGAAACACCCAACUAGAAGGAUUUCCUGCUUGUGAAUCCAUGUUGUUCUCCCUCAUCACCUGCAUAUGUCUAUGUCCUAAUGCCCAGAACCUGUUAUUGUGAUACCAUGCACGGCAAAGGGGACAGUGCAGAUGUGAUUAAGUUGAAGAUCUUGAAAUGGGAAGAUUUUCCUGAAUUAUCUGGGAUCAGAGUUAAAGACAGAUGAUGGCAAUAGCAGGCGGGAGGGGGAGGAGAAGUAUGGGUUUGAAGUUGCUAUGCUAUGCUGCUGGUUUUGAAGAUGGAGGAAGGGGCCAAGGAAUGCAGAUGGCCUUUAGAAGUUUGGAAAGGCAAGGAAAUGGAUUAUUCUCUAGAGCCCAGAAGGAAUACAGACUUGCUGACCCAUUUUAGACUUCUGGUCUCCAGCACUGGAACACAAUAAAUACGUGUUCUUUUAUGCCACUAAAUGUGUGGUAAUUGAUCACAUCUGCAAUAGAAAACGAGUACAGUUAAGAACAUAGCAUUACAAAGCCCAAGUUCCCGGAUGUGAGCCCAGGGCCAGCGCUGCCAGCAGAUCCUUCU